GACGAACGCUGGCGGCGUGCUUAACACAUGCAAGUCGAACGGAAAGGCCCUGCUUGCAGGGUACUCGAGUGGCGAACGGGUGAGUAACACGUGGGUGAUCUGCCCUGCACUUCGGGAUAAGCUUGGGAAACUGGGUCUAAUACCGGAUAGGACCGCACUUUAGUGUGUGUGGUGGAAAGUUUUUUCGGUGUAGGAUGAGCUCGCGGCCUAUCAGCUUGUUGGUGGGGUAAUGGCCUACCAAGGCGGCGACGGGUAGCCGGCCUGAGAGGGUGUACGGCCACAUUGGGACUGAGAUACGGCCCAGACUCCUACGGGAGGCAGCAGUGGGGAAUAUUGCACAAUGGGCGCAAGCCUGAUGCAGCGACGCCGCGUGGGGGAUGAAGGCCUUCGGGUUGUAAACUACUUUCGCUAGGGACGAAGCUUUUUGUGACGGUACCUAGAUAAGAAGCACCGGCUAACUACGUG
RNAcentral lists this ribosomal RNA (465 nucleotides) under uncultured bacterium. Its description in RNAcentral is "partial 16S ribosomal RNA". It matches the Rfam family "Bacterial small subunit ribosomal RNA", at positions 28 to 507 of the family's 1533-position model. The record is from RNAcentral.